Long non-coding RNA from Homo sapiens (human), 1490 nucleotides. Lineage: Eukaryota; Metazoa; Chordata; Mammalia; Primates; Hominidae. The record is from Ensembl.
GAGUGACAGGAGACGUGAUCAGAUGCUCGGCUGAAUGAAGAAAGAGUGAAAGCCUAAGCUCCAGCCUUUUCAGGCAGGUUUUCCUCCCUGAGCUGAGCCAGGCCCAACCCAAAGGUUAUUUGCCUCUUCUCUUCUGCCUGGGCACUGCCAAAGAAAAAAGGAGAUUGUAGCAAUUCACUGGACCCAGAACCUAGUUGAGGGAGCAUUGUGACAUGCCACUGGGCUCAGCACCCAGGUGAUGUUCCUCUCCUGCCUGGUCCCUUCCAUCAGGGAAUAUUGUACAAAUCUCUGGCCAAGCACCCAGUUGAUGUGACUCUCCUGCUCACUACCUACUCACAGGUUACAUGUCCCAUGUCGCAGAAAAUGUUGUAAUGUAUUGCUGGACCCAGUCACCAGAUGAUGUGUCUCUCCUGCCAAGGCUGUGCCCACAGAGAGCAUUUUGACAUAUCACUGGGCUCAGCACCCAGGUGAAAUGACUCUGCUGCCUGUACUCUGCUUUAAGAGGGGAUUGUAAUAUAUCUGUGGCUGAGCACCUAGGUGAGAUGACUUCUGCGUGGUUUCUGACCUCAGGAAAGAUUGUGACAUAUCUUUGCCGAAAACCUACAUGAUGUGAAUCUGCUGCUCACUUCCUACCGACAGGAGGGAUUGAGACAAUUCUGGAAGCCCAGCACCUAGGUGAUGUGACUUUCAUCUUUUGUUUGGACCGUGUGCACAAAAGGAAGAGUGGCUUAUCACUGGACCUCACACACAGGAGAGAUUGUGACAUAUCUCUGGAACCAGAACCUUGGUGAUGUGACUCUUCUCUCCUGCUGAAGCCAUGCCCACACAAGGGAAAGUGACUUAUCACUGGGCCCAGCACACAGGUUAUGCAAAUGGAGGUGGAUUGUGACAUAUCAUAGGGCCAACACAACACACAGUCUACAGGUGGAAUUGGGACUCUCAUGCAUGGAUCCAGUUCAUCAUUGAUACUGUGACUCAGGUGGGAUUUUGACAUAUAACUGCACCCAGCACACAGGUGAGAUUGUGACUCUUGUAUGCUCAUCCUGCCAAAAGUUGAGUGUCACCCUCACACAUGGACAGAGACUUCUGGUAAGGUCUUGAAUCUUGUACAUGGACACAGUCCACAGCUGGAAUGUCAUAUGUAGAUCCAGCCACAGGUGUGAUGUUGACCUAUUUAUAAAGUUAGCUCACAGGCACAUUGAUAACUCUCAUACCUGGAUCCAGCCAAUAAAAUAUAUGUUGACUAUUAUAGCUAGGCUUGAGUAAACUGGUAGGGUCCUGGGUCUUCUACCUGUAUGAGAGUCACAGAAGAUUAUGACACUUAUGGAAAUUACAUAAAGCCCUCUGGCAAUGCAAAGUUUUAUCACGGGGCCCCACACGCAGGUGAGAUUGUGACUUCAAUAUGCAGACAAAGCUAACAGUUAGUAUUGUUACCUUCACAUAUAAACAGAGCCCACUGGUGAGGUUCUAAAUCUCACACACCAAAAAAA